GGGGACAUGGCGCAGUGGUAGCGCGUCUGCUUUGCAUGCUCACUUCGGUGAACAUCGAUGUGCAGAAGGUCUGGGGUUCGAAACCCCAUGUCUCCA
Molecule: non-coding RNA, 96 nt
Organism: Orbilia ellipsospora
Lineage: Eukaryota; Fungi; Ascomycota; Orbiliomycetes; Orbiliales; Orbiliaceae
Source: the annotation of a GenBank genome assembly